RNAcentral lists this ribosomal RNA (452 nucleotides) under uncultured bacterium. Its description in RNAcentral is "bacterial SSU rRNA". It matches the Rfam family "Bacterial small subunit ribosomal RNA", at positions 441 to 885 of the family's 1533-position model. The record is from RNAcentral.
CGGGAAGAAUAAGUAGGGGACAAUACCCCCUAUGAUGACGGUACCGUUUGUAAGCUCCGGCUAACUCCGUGCCAGCAGCCGCGGUAAUACGGGGGGAGCAAGCGUUGUUCGGAUUUACUGGGCGUAAAGGGCGCGUAGGCGGUCAGCACAAGUCAGUUGUGAAAUCUCCGAGCUUAACUCGGAAAGGUCAACUGAUACUGUGCGACUAGAGUGCGGAAGGGGCAACUGGAAUUCUUGGUGUAGCGGUGAAAUGCGUAGAUAUCAAGAGGAACACCUGCGGCGAAGGCGGGUUGCUGGGCCGACACUGACGCUGAGGCGCGAAAGCCAGGGGAGCGAACGGGAUUAGAUACCCCGGUAGUCCUGGCCUUAAACGAUGAAUGCUUGGUGUCUGGGGUUAUAAAGUCCCCGGGUGCCGUCGCUAACGCUUUAAGCAUUCCGCCUGGGGAGUACGG